UGUUAGCGGCGGACGGGUGAGUAACACGUGGGUAACCUGCCUGUAAGACUGGGAUAACUCCGGGAAACCGGAGCUAAUACCGGAUAGUUCCUUGAACCGCAUGGUUCAAGGAUGAAAGACGGUUUCGGCUGUCACUUACAGAUGGACCCGCGGCGCAUUAGCUAGUUGGUGGGGUAAUGGCUCACCAAGGCGACGAUGCGUAGCCGACCUGAGAGGGUGAUCGGCCACACUGGGACUGAGACACGGCCCAGACUCCUACGGGAGGCAGCAGUAGGGAAUCUUCCGCAAUGGACGAAAGUCUGACGGAGCAACGCCGCGUGAGUGAUGAAGGUUUUCGGAUCGUAAAGCUCUGUUGUUAGGGAAGAACAAGUGCGAGAGUAACUGCUCGCACCUUGACGGUACCUAACCAGAAAGCCACGGCUAACUACGUGCCAGCAG
RNAcentral lists this ribosomal RNA (438 nucleotides) under Bacillus safensis. Its description in RNAcentral is "bacterial SSU rRNA". It matches the Rfam family "Bacterial small subunit ribosomal RNA", at positions 90 to 514 of the family's 1533-position model. Lineage: Bacteria; Bacillati; Bacillota; Bacilli; Caryophanales; Bacillaceae. The record is from RNAcentral.